CAGUGCAUUGUGGGUAUGGCAACCCAAGAUGGCGGGAGCUGUGCGGGGUAAAAGAGUGUAGAAUUUAACUAUCUUCCUGAUAAAAUGCCCAGGCCGAAACGAACCUCGACAAAGAGGUAUAAAGCUGAAGAAGUCAGCGAAGACAGCAGUGCAGGUAGUGGCAGUGAUUUUGAUGACGAUGAGGAUCCAGAUAAAAUAGAAGUACCAGGUGGUGGAAAAGAUCUGGCGACAGCUGCAGGCAUUGGCGGAAUUAAAGAGGAGAAACCAUUGGUUCCAGCUCCCUUGCUCAAGGGACAUGGCGGAGUUAGCACAUUCGUGGAACCCUCGCCAUUACUCAACCAAAAAUUUGCAAAUAAACUACCGGGUGGUCUAGUUACAAAAAGCAACGCCGCUCCGGGCUACGAGAUGCUUCGUGUCGGUGGGUCUCAGGGGACACCGGCCUUCAUGGGUGUAGGUGGAAUGGGGCCGGUUGGACAAAUGGCUGCUAAUAAUCCCUAUGCAUUUCCACCGAGUCUUGCUAGUUUAGCAGGUUACAAUCCCGCUGCCCUUUUUCAACAUAGUAAGUCACCUUCUGCAAUGGAAAUGAGCAAUAUGAUGGGAAUGGGUAGUCUAAUGGGCCUUGGAUCUAUGGCUGGUCUAAACCCAUUUAUGCUGCAACAAUUCCUAACCCAAAACGGAAUGCAUCCAAAUUGGUCUGGAGGAUUGUCAGGUAAAGCCGUAUCUCAAUUGUGGAUGAAUUCCGGUGAUCCGGGAAAAAUGAACAUGCAGCCGACACUGCCAGAAGAAGAAGAAGUAGAUGAUGAAGAUAUGGGUGUUGCAGAAACCUACGCAGAUUACAUGCCAACAAAAUUAAAACUAGGCCGAAAGCAUCCUGAUCCUGUUGUGGAAACCGCUUCAUUAUCUAGCGUGGAGCCGACAGAUGUGUGGUAUAAAGUUGUCAUCCCUGAAGAGAUUAUUCGGUCCGGCGCCUUGUCCGCGUUGCAAUUAGAAUCGAUAACAUAUGCAUCGCAGCAGCACGAGCACUUAUUACCAGAUGGUACAAGAGCUGGUUUUCUCAUAGGAGAUGGAGCUGGAGUAGGAAAAGGUCGAACAAUAGCUGGAAUAAUAUUUGAAAAUUAUUUAAGAGGUAGAAAACGGGCGAUCUGGGUAUCUGUUUCUAAUGAUUUGAAAUAUGAUGCGGAACGAGACUUGAAAGACAUAGGCGCAGGAAAAAUUGAAGUGCAUCCAUUGAAUAAAUUUAAAUAUGCGAAGAUAUCGUCGGCCGUGAAUUCAAACGUUAAGAAAGGUGUUAUAUUCAGUACUUACUCAGCCCUCAUCGGCGAAUCUUCUCAAAGUGGGGGUAAAUACAAAAGCCGACUGAAGCAGCUAUUACAGUGGUGUGGCGAAGACUUUGAUGGGUUAAUUGUGUUUGAUGAGUGUCACAGAGCGAAAAAUCUCUGUCCUACUGGUAGUUCAAAACCAACAAAAACUGGCCUUACGGUAUUAGAACUUCAAAACAAAUUGCCUAAGGCACGUGUUGUAUACGCUUCCGCGACGGGUGCGUCGGAACCAAGGAAUAUGGCUUACAUGGUGAGAUGUGGUAUGUGGGGGGAAGGGACACCUUUUCCGGAAUUCACUGACUUCAUCGCUGCUGUAGAAAAAAGAGGUGUUGGCGCUAUGGAAAUUGUAGCUAUGGACAUGAAGCUGAGAGGAAUGUAUAUAGCCAGACAGCUCAGCUUUCACGGUGUGGCAUUCAAAAUUGAAGAAGUUCCUUUAUCCAAAGAAUUUACAAAAGUGUACGACACUUCUGUGAAACUGUGGGUUGAAGCUAUGCAGAAAUUUCAAGAGGCUGCUGAACUUAUUGAUGCCGAAAACAGGAUGAAAAAAACAAUGUGGGGACAAUUCUGGUCUUCGCAUCAAAGAUUUUUCAAGUAUCUUUGUAUAGCUGCUAAAGUUAAACAUGCGGUAGCAGUUGCUCGUGAAGCAGUGAAAUGUGGCAAAUGUGUCGUGAUAGGUCUACAAUCUACUGGAGAAGCCCGUACCUUAGAACAACUAGAGAGAGAUGAUGGAGAACUCAGUGACUUUGUCUCAACAGCCAAGGGAGUUCUUCAAACUCUGGUGGAAAAACACUUCCCAGCACCUGAUCGAAAUCGAAUACAUCGAUUACUUGGUCUUGAGCCGCCGAAAUCCGGCAAAUCUCAUAAUGGGGACUUUGAGGAAGCAGGAGGUUCAACAGGAAAACGCAAACCAGUGCGUCAAGCUGCACAGAGAGCAUCGAAAAAGGUUAAGACAUGGUCUACCGAUGAUGAUGUGUCUGAGGAUGACAGAAAUGGCGGUGGUCGGAGUUCUGGAUCGGAGUUUAAACUCUCUGGAACUGAAAGUGAAGACGAUAAUCGUAGCGACGAUGAAAGUAACGCUAGUUCUGACUUUAAUCCCUUCUACAGUGACAGUGAUUCUGAUGCAGAUCCGUGGGACCGGAGGAAAAAAAAGGGGAAGAAGCACAAAAAAUCACCGAAAAAACGUCUAAGUACGCAAGAUAAAAUUCAGUCGAUGCUUGCAAGUAAAACAUCACAUAACAAAAAUAAACGGAACGGUGAGAGUGGUAUGGGAAUGCCUGGAAUGGGCCUGUCAAUGUCGCAAGCUCCACCACGUGAUGCUAUAGAGCGUGCUUGUUGCAUUAAGGAAGAAUUACUGGCUCAGAUCGAAUCUCUUGGUGACAAAUUACCUCCAAAUACACUGGAUCAACUUAUCGAUGAAUUAGGCGGACCUGAAAACGUUGCAGAAAUGACAGGCAGAAAAGGUCGAGUUGUGCAGACUGAGGAUGGUGCGAUUCAGUAUGAAUCUCGGUCGGAAGUAGAUGUUCCAUUAGAAACUUUAAAUUUAACAGAAAAACAAAGGUUUAUGGAUGGCGAAAAAACGGUAGCGAUCAUCUCCGAGGCCGCGAGCAGUGGUAUUUCUUUGCAAAGCGAUAGGCGGGCUAGAAAUCAAAUGCGAAGAGUACAUAUAACUCUAGAACUGCCAUGGAGUGCCGACAGAGCUAUCCAACAAUUUGGAAGAACUCAUAGAUCCAAUCAAGUCAAUGCUCCAGAAUACAUUUUUCUAAUAUCCGACUUAGCUGGAGAACGAAGGUUCGCUUCAAUCGUAGCAAAACGUUUAGAAAGCUUGGGGGCUUUAACACACGGUGAUCGACGAGCUACAGAAACAAGAGAUUUGUCACAGUUCAAUAUUGAUAACAAAUAUGGUAGGGCUGCAUUAGAAGCCACUAUGAAAACAAUAAUGGGUUAUGAAAGCCCACUGGUUCCACCACCGCAAGAUUACAAAGGAGACUUCUUUAAAGACGUUGCAGAUGCCUUGGUUGGGGUUGGACUAAUUUGUAACAGUGAGAGCAUGCCAGGCGUCUUGACCUUAGACAAAGAUUACAAUAAUAUGUCCAAAUUUCUGAACAGAAUUUUAGGAAUGCCCGUCGAUUUACAAAAUAGACUUUUUAAGUACUUCACCGACACGUUGAAUGCGAUAGUGACUCAGGCGAAGAAAACCGGUCGUUUUGAUAUGGGGAUUCUCGAUUUGGGUACAUCUGGUGAAAAUGUUAAGAGAGUAAAAUUGUACCGAUUUUUACGGAAACACGCAACCGGCAUUGCGCCAACGGAGCUACACAUCGUUCACGUUGAGAGAGGGAUGAGCUGGGCAGAAGCUAUGGAUCGGUGGGAAUCACUAACAGGAUCCAAAGAAGGCUUUUACCUGAGUCAUCAGGUCAGAAACGGAAAGCAGACAGCUAUAUUGGCUGUGGCAGUCGAAAGUGGCAAGAAAAAAGGUGAAAAUAGAAAGGACCAUCUUUACACAGUCUACAGGCCUAAUACGGGUCUGCAGUUGCGACAAGAGACGUUGGGCGAAUUAGAGAAAAAGUACAAAAAGGUGGAAACUGAAGAAGCCGAACCACAUUGGACUCAGCAGUAUGACGCAUCAGUAGACACAUGUUCUCAUGCGUACUGGCGGGGAAAUUGCAAAAAUACCACAUUGGGACUGGAUUGUGAAGUUGGAUUGCGUAGGCGAUCCUACAAUGUACUUGCAGGAUCGGUGCUGAGCGUGUGGAGUCGAGUAGAAAAUGUACUAGCUACAAGAUCUGGCCACAAUUCAAAGAUGCAGGUUGUGCGUUUGAGAACUGAUGAGAGCUUAAAAAUAGUGGGCACGUUAAUCCCAAAAUCUUGUAUGGAAGCAUUGCGCGAAGCUCUCUCAUCAGAUGCUGAAAAAACUGAGGAGCAAACAUUCUGAGCAGACUGCCAUGUACUUGGUAUGGAAGGACCAAAAAUAUGUACGCAUGUCAUGAGUGUUGCUGUCCAUGCACUGGAUGCUGAGCUGAUGUCAGAACAAAUAAAUACGUCAUAUUUGCUAUUCCGUCAAGGUUAUGGAAAAAAAAAACAUGUAUAGAUCACAGAAUCUAGCGGAAUGCGAAUUACAGAAUGUUUCACAUCUUCAGGAUUAGUCAGAAUCGAAUAAUCGGAAGGUAAUCCUUAUUUAUUACUAAGUUUUUACCAUGAUAAAAUAAAUUAAUUAUCAGAAUUAUUACUAUUAAUAUUAUUAUUACUGUCAUUCAAAGAUGCAAACGACUAAAUUUUAAGAAAUAUUAUAGGGUUAAAAGUGAAAUCGAGAAAAUGUAAACUUUUGCUAAGCUUGAAAGGAAAGUUAGCUACCAAAAUUGUUUUCCUAUAUAUCCAACAUUAUUCGUCUUUUAUAUGUGUCGUUGGGGAAAACAAUUUUGAAAUCUUUUUUUCCGCUCUACAAGCCACAAGAAAUUGGUCAUUUGCAACAAUCUCCAAAAAAUGGAUUUAUAAGAAUUUAGAUAAGAAAGCAACUUAUCCACCAACACCUGAAAGCUUUUCUUUUUCUUGCGCCUUGCUGUAGGCGAUAAUUUUGUGAACGUAAGUCUAUGGCGUUCUAUUUUACCUUGGUCCAGUAUGAAGUACAGAUGAAACUCGAAUUUUAUUCUUGCCGCUUUUAUUCUCUAGCAAAAGUGUACAAUGCGACGCAUCUUCUCUAACAGUGUGACUGAAAGUGUGUUAGGUAUUGAAACGUAAGAGAACGUGACUUUCAGUUUACUACAUUCUUGUAGGUGCUGUAAUUAGGACAAAAAAAACCGAGAAUUCGUCACGUAUUUCGAUAUAAGGGUAUUAAACAUUCUCCAACUUGAUUCGGAAAUUCAUUUCAACACAAAGUUUUUGACUGAGAAGUAACUUUCGGUGAAGCAAUCCGCAUCACCAUUAUCAAAUAUCUUGUUUGAACUAUUCAAUUAUCAAUAUACAUUAUUUGUUUAGAGUUAUCUAUAUCACAACCCCAUAUAUCUUUCAUAUUCACAUGUGUGAUCCAAAUCAUUGGAGAUUUUUUAUAAUCGACAUUUUCAAUAGAAGAAAUUUCAAUAAGUUCUUAUGUUUUUCAAACAUUGAGUGAACUUUAAAACAAUUCUUGAUUGACGAGGAACCCUAGGUAAGUCGACCUCUCUGAUUUUGAUCUUGCUCACAUAUCUUUUAGUGCAUCGAAAGCUAAUAGACACAUAUUUCUUUUAUCUGCUAAUAAACGGUUUAAAGGGGUGAAAAUAACAUCCAAAGAUGGGCACCCAAUGGGGUAGUUUCUCAGUUUCGUACUGAAGCACUUGAUGUACUUGAAUGAAACAUUCAAAUACAUUAAUUAUACUUGAACGAAACCAAUGCUGAAAUGUUCCAUUCACCAGUAGACACAUUUCUGCUUUAGGUUGAUUUAAAUACAUUAAGCGCUUCUGUUUGGAACUGAGAAACCUAUCUUCCCGGGUGCUCAUCUGUGGGGGACAUUAUCACCCCUUUAAACCAUUUACUAGUAGAUAAAAAAAAUAUACGUCUGUCAGUUUUCAUUACCCUACAACAUAUAUGAACUAGAUCAAAAUUGAAUGUGUCGACCAACCUGGGGUUUCUUGUGAGUGUCACUGACAUGGUAUUGUUUACUUCAAAUAUAAUACAGAUAAGUAGUUUUUUAACAGAGGUCUUAAAUUGAGGAGUUGUAAAAUUGUUUCUUUAAUAGCUGAUAGAUUUAAUCAGUGCGAUAAAAAAAAUUGAUAAAAAAGUUGGGAAUGGAAACACCAUUUUAUACAUUUUUCGCUUUGUUUAAUUUUUUUCAGUUCAAUCUGAUUCUGGUCGAUAGCCAGUACUUUUUCACUGUGUUCUUAGAUUUCGUAUAUACAUUGUAUAGGACUCAAGGACGAUUUGGCUGUGCAUUUCGCCAGGUCUUGCCCCGUGGCUGGCAUAAGUUAAUGUUAACUUUUAAUCUAUCCAACUUUUAUAAAAAUUUGACCAAAUUUCAGCUAACUUAACUUUGCUAUGUGGAAACAUGCCAAAUCAACCAAUACUGAAAAUAAUUAUAUUAUUGAGUAUAGAAAAUUCGUUGACAAAAUCAAACCUGUCUGAUUGGCACUAAAGAAAAAAAUCUUAUAAACUUUCCUGGUGAAUAUAGAUUCGUGCACUUGGGUAUUUUAUGGUAUAGAACUAAAAGAACUCUAAAACAACGCAAACAUGCCCCUAGCCAUACAAAACAGCAUAGUGCAUGGAGGUCAAGCAACUACGAUUAUUUGUUUUGCGCUGGUAAUCUAAGUUACGUUAUUAAUUGGCUUAAGUUGUUACGAAAUGGAUUCAUUGACAGUUUUGGUUGCUUUAAUGUGUUGGUUUUUUUUUUAUUUUGAGAGUCAUCUACAGAAUUGAAUUGCACCUGAAUAUACUUUAAUGAACUCAUAUUCAAUCAAAAUAUUACAAUACCAAUUCUUUCAAUAUUAUUAUUAAUUUAUCUUUAUUUAACAAACAAAUGUUCAAUCACGAAAUGUUUCCAACAUCUCUCGUAAAAAAUCAUGUUUUGUUCCCUAAUGUAAUGUUUAACCAGUAAGUGUUUCAACGUAAAAAACAAAAAACUUAAAUUUUUAAAACUAACUAAACUUCACACUCUAUAAAAAGGUUGAACGAUAGUGGUGUUAUAUUGUCUUUUAAAAUGUUAUGUAUUAUUUUGUAUCCUAUGAAGUAAUUAUUUCAUCAGUAUUAGUUUUUGAUUGGCGAUUAAAUUUUUCCACAUAUUUUACUUUACUAUGGACUAAAUGAAAUUUAUCAUGCUUUUAUUCUCAAAUCAUCUGAAUAGCCUGAAAACUUGGCGCAUAUAAUCGAUAACUAAAUGCGUUCACCCGAAUGUCCGUUAUUGUGAAUAUAUUGUCAAAAGUUAAUCGGUGGCUUAUGAUUGUUAUUCCUUCACUGAUGGUUUUAGAUUAAAGGCUGGGCAUAGUGUCGUGCAUAUUUUCAUUGUUCUUACAUUCAAUAUAGCACUUUAGCGCAUUGAAUGCUGUAUGAAAUACGAGCAAUGCGAAAUUUAAGGUACAGAAUGCAAAGCGUAUUGUAUAUGAACCACGCUAAAAGUUUAGCUGGGAUAAUGCUUGAGUUCAAGGUACCAUAUGUAGGUAAUAGUAGGCAACAGUAUGGUUUAGUAUACUACUAAAUAAUAUAAAUAUAAUAAUUCAAUUAAUGAUUACUAUUAAUGUUAGACACGCUGAACAUGAUAUAUUUAUAUUCACAAUAAUACCCGUGGUGUAUAUUAGGUGUUUGUAUGGAUCGCAAUGCAAGAUGAGUGUCUACCAGAUAACUCAAUAAAAAAAAAAAAUCCUACUUUUUUUUCAAACCUCAACAAACGUCUUCAAAGAUGACACAAUAUGAUUUACGUUUCUACAUUCCUCUGUGUUUUCUGUAAUUCAUAUCGAAAUAUUUAAUUUUGUACCAAAGUAUGCAUCAUUUUCUACCAUCCCAAUUCCGUGUGAAGAUUGCUUAAGAAAAUUUAUUUUUCAAUUGUCAUUGAAAUUGGCACAUGACUAAGUCUCUUUACUUAACUCACACCUACACUUAGUUGUGAGAUAAAAUGAAGUACCACAGAUAAGUGAGCAAUUUAACACUUCUGCAGGCAUAUAACUGUAUAAAUCGACAAUUGACUUACAGUUCAAUAGCGUUAUUUUUGUUUUUUCUGCCAGCUAUCGCAUACAGUAUUGAGAGUCGUAAUUCAAUCUAUCUGAGUUACAAUUACACAACAAUUACAUAAUUUCAAUAUAGUUUUGAUGGCGAAACAAGUUAUGUGUACGAUGCAUAGUUUCCCUGUAUCAACUUUGCUUGAAUACAAUCGUUUUUAGAAUUAUUGUGGUUGUGUACUUCCCAUCAUUUUUGCACAAAUAUUUCCCUUUGAAGUAAAAACUGGGAAAGAGUUGUUAUCACCAUCCAUAAGGCAAAAGGUGUUAUGUUGUUACUAUUCACGUUGCAAUAACUGUGAUCUGUAAUUUUUACUGAAGGUGACAUCUAGCAUUCUUCCUUCAAUUUCUUAGUUUUGAGAUUCAUUAGUAAUAGCGUCCAUGUGAACAUGCAUUUGAAUUGAGAGACUGUGAAAAGGAGGAAUGUGACAAUACACCACAUACAUUCACUAUCUAUGCUUUACCUUCCUAUGGGCCAAUUUUUAUUUACUUUACGACACAUCUGAGUAUGAUAUAAAAGUUGUAGGGAAUGUGGAUUAUAUUAUCGAUUGUGGGAGGACGUAAAAUUUGUGGAAUUUUAAUUUCUCAGCUAUAACGGAUGUACAUACAAAGUGCAAUUAUUGCCGUAAUGAGACCAGUGUUUCACAUCCAAAUAAAUAAAAAUCACAUCCAAAAAAGUAACAGUAUUUCGUUCUUGGUAUUUUCAAUUAGGAGUUAAAACUAUUUCAUCCUUAAUAAUUUUUUACCAAUUGUACGCUAUAUCCGUUAGCUUGGUAUUAAAAUUUCUCAUUCAGGUUGUAAGAAUUGUGGAGAACAUUUUAACUUGUACCCGUACUUGUUACAAUCCAUUGCAUAUCUCAAUAUUGAUAUCAGAUUUUCCAAUUCGGUUUUUCGUAAUUGUAAAGCACAGUUAUUUACAAUUUCCGUAAAAAUGCAGAGGAAUGUUGAUCGAUACUUGGUACAUACGAUGUUAUUUUACGUUGUAACAAUAAAGUUUCUGCACAUGAUUGGGCGUGCAAUAUAAGGUAUUAUUAUAUGUUUAUGCUUCUUUAAUUGUAAUUUCACCCUCAUCUUUCAAUAUACCCAUGUCAUUGAAUAUAGGAAUACACUUCAUUUAGCUUAUUGGCGACUCUAAUUAUCCGAUAUGGUAACUAAUAGAAAUACCCCUCGUUAUUAUAAGUAUUGAUUAAUAAUUAUUAUAUGUUCUAUAUAACUAUAGAAAAUCAACAAGCGUUCAUAAAUUCACGAGAGAGAAUUGGUAAAAGAUCUGUACAGAUAUAUUAGAAAAACCGUUCCUUAAUAAAAGUAUUUUAAUUAUUGCUCUCUGAUCAUUCGUCUUGGCAGAUUCAUCAUUGAUUAUUUUUCAUUACUUGGCUUCGUGGUAUUUGAAAAAAACAACUAUCUGGAAAAUGAUGCGUAUGUACGUCGUACUCUUUAUUUCAGUCUGACAUAUUUACAUAUGAUACAUAAUCACCAGCACAUUAAUGUACUAACCAAGCCAUUUCAAUAAAGUAUUAACUUACAGAAAUCUAGUAACGGCUCAUUACUGAUAUAAUUAUUGUAGUAUAAUGAGAUUGUAAUAAAAAAAUAGAAGACAUUGGUAAACUUUAAUAUUACGGGGAAAACAAAAAAGUUGGAGUUAAUGGUGAAAUUUUCUAAUGUGUAUUUUACAGCAGUCAUUGAACAAACUUCUAGGUAGAAAAAUGCUGAAUGCAGGUACGUGUAACUAGUGAGUGAGUACAUAUAUGAACGACAGUUUUUUACGCAGUCAGUCAGUAAAGUAAAUUUGGUUAAGGAUGAUGGUCAAUUGGACAGUCGGUAUAUAUAUUAAACCUGAAUACCUUUUCCGCAUGAAAGGUUUGAAAUUCUGUAAGUUUACAAUUAUUAACUUUUGGCACUAAUAAUCAGGUAAUCGCAUUUGUAAUUCAUUUUAGUGCUUCAGAAAGUCAAGAUAUAGUGUAAACUUGUUCUAGAGAGAAAAGAUUUACCAAUUACUUAUAGCUGAAACUACUUCGAAUUUGUUAGUGUCUCUGCUGGCACGUUAAUCUCGCCUUUUGCUUUAUGUACUGUAUUUAUGUAAUUUUUCAAUAAUGGUCGUAGGGUCAGAACGUCAAUUCAAAUCAUUUGAAUGUCU
Molecule: unclassified non-coding RNA, 10121 nt
Filed under: Neodiprion pinetum (white pine sawfly)
Lineage: Eukaryota; Metazoa; Arthropoda; Insecta; Hymenoptera; Diprionidae
Description: protein strawberry notch, transcript variant X8
Source: RNAcentral